CAGCGGUCAGGUCCCCUCUUGGCCAGAUCUUGGGAGGCAGGAAGUCUGGGAUGACUGCUCUAUGCGACACUGGCCGGCCGAAGGAGGACCCUGGGCCUCAUUCUGUCCGCACCCCCUUCAUUGACGUCCUAUCCCCAGUUCCUCAGACGAUAACCAUGUUUGGAGAUGUCUUUUAAAGAGGUGAUGAAGAUAAAACGAGGAUGUUGAGAUCGAUCCUGAUCCAACCUGACUGCAGGUGUCCUUGUAAGCAGAGGGAAUUUGGACACACAGAGGGGACACUGGGGACAGAAGAAAGACCAUCAAGGACACUCCUCGGCAAGACAAGGAGAGAGGCCCCAGAGUCAAAUCAACUGUGCUGACUCCUCGAUUCUGGACAUCCACCUUCAGAACCCUUCCUGGCUGUCUGUCCUUGGUCCCACCCUCCCGCCAUGAUGCUCUGCCAUUGUCUCAGGCCCAGAGCCAUGGAGUUGGCUAACUGUGAACUGAACCUCUGAAACCUGAGCCGGAAUGAACUUCCCACGCUCUCCAUUGCUCUUGUCAGGUUUUCUGUCAUCGUGAUGCAAAGCUGUCUAACUUACCGUCGAUGAAUGGAAAAAUAAUGAAACACGGUGGACCAUCCUGAAGAUGUAAAACAUGAGUGAAAUCCUGCUAUUUGUAGCAACAUAGACGAUCGUGGAGGACAUUACGUUAAGAAAGAAGCCAGGUGUAGAAAGAAAAGCAUGAGAGGCUCUCACUUCCACGUGGGAUCUAAAAGUGUUCUGGAACACUGGUUACCAGAGGCUGGGAAGGGAGACAGCGACCGGGAAUGGUUCCUGGGGACAGAGGUGCCCUGGUAGGGGUGGGGGUAACUUCUAGGAUUCUGUAGCACAAUAGGGCAGCUGGGGUCAGCACCACUUAACUGCACGUUUCAAAAUAACUGAUUUUGAAUUUUCCCAACACAAAGAAAUGAUAAGUGUUGGAGGUUAUAGUUACGUCAGUUAUUCUGAUCUGUGUUGAAAUAUCACACUGUACCCCAUAAAUAUAUGCAAUCAUUAUGGGCCAAUUAAAAAAUCAAGAUUUUUUUUUUAAAUACUGUUUUCUAGGCCCACUCCUGCUAGAGAGCCUGAUUAAUUUGCUCUGAGGUACGACCUGGACAUUGAGAUUCUUAAAUGCUCCUCAAAUGAUUUGAAUAUGUAGCCAAGUUUGAGUAUCGCUGCUGUAGAUUACUUUUACUUGUAAAGUAAUUAUUUAUGAGGAGGAUGGCAUUUAGGACGACGUUUUAGAGAAUCUGCACCAUCCUUUGGUCCCAGUGAGUUAAUGAGAGUCGGUUCAGAGAGGUGAGGCUUGGCAAAUUAACUAUCACACAGUUGGUGAGGAAGCUGACCCUCAUGGAAAGCAGUUUCCAAAGUGGAGAGAACAAACAAUCAUCUUGACGAAGGGAGUUUCCUAUAACAAACAUCAUAACCUAAUAGAGGUUAGAAGUCAGAAGACAUCAGAAAUGUUUGUUAAACAUUUACUUUAAUAUAACAGGAAAACUCUGGUUCUGUUAGUCAACAACAGAUUUAGAUCCUCCUUCAUCCUAACAAGGUAGGGAAGAAGGAGAGAUUUAGGCUGAUUUUAAUGUCAAUGGACACCAAACUGCUAAGAUAACGACAUAAAAGUUAUUAUCUCAAUGCUUUUAGUAUUUCAGAGGUGCUCACAUCUAAGUCUUUUUUUUUUGAGUUUCACUUGAACUGCUUGCCCCCAAAUUCCCAUAACUUCUAAUUUUAAAUUCAGUUUUAAUUAAGGCUGAAUUCAAGGUACCUUCGGUUCCCCACAUCUAUGGAUUCAACCAACUGUUGAUCAAAAAAAAUUGGCAUCUGGGCUGAGUACAUUGAGCUCCUUGGCCCUGUCACCCCCGCCCUCAAAUCUACAGUGUGACAACUACUCACAUAGCAUUUGCAUUGUAUUAGGAACUAUAAAUUAUCUAGAGAUGAAUUAAAGUAUAAAGAAGUGUAGGCGUAUUAUAUGCAAAUACUGUACCACUUCCUAUAAGGACAGAGAGCACCCACAGAUUUUGGUAUCUGUGGGGAGUUCCUGGGAAUCACCCCUAUGGACACUGAGAGAGGACUGCAGUUAGAAGUCACCAUAAUUUAUUUCCACCCCAUCACGAGAUCUCUGUGCCCAAAGACUAGCCCUUUGCCCCAGGUGUGUGGGAUUCCGUUCCGAGUCUGAAGGCUGUCCCUCUUCUUUACCAAGUUUCCACACCUGAGUUGGGACACCUGUUUGUCAACUGCCAGUCAAUCAACACCAACCCUGCGGGAGAGGAAACAGGAAUCCCAGUUUCUCAUUCCCACAUCCUCAUCGCUGACGUAUUUUCUGGGAUCUUUAUCAUUAGAUUACCAAGUUUUCUUCCAGAAGGCACUGAGGCCUUGAAAGUGAAUCGAUUCCAAAGUUUAAAGAGGAAAUCGCCUGAGAGAGAAAUGCAGGCUUGUCUUGGGUUAGAAAUGGAGACCUCUGCUGAUCAGCAAGAAUCUCUGGGAGGUCAUUUUUAUGUAUUCUACCUUGGCCAGAAAAAACACUGACCUUGGCAAACAAAUCAGAAUUCAGAUCCCAUGAGCUGCUUCUCUUUGGGGUCACCGUCUGUCCUUCAAGCUGGCUUUAAACAUCAGACCAAAGUGUUCACUCAUCAGAACAGGCGAGCCCGGCUAUGGUUUAUUACAUGUGAAAGUUGCUGCCUAAGACGGUUUAAGCCUUCUUCCCCGGAGCAUGCGGUGUAUUAGUCACUGGAGUCCAUAGAAACAAUGCAGAGGGUCUGAUUCCCCUGAAAACUCGAGCUCUCUGGGGCAUGCUCUAGAAAGAUGUGGCAGGAGUGAAGCACAGCUAAGAUGUGCCAGGUGUCAUGUGCAGAAUAAUGGACCCCCAAAUCCACAUGCUGAUCCCCAGAAGCUGUGAAUGGGUUAGGGUAUGUGGCAAAAGUUGCAGAUGGAAUUAAGGUUGCUAUUCCGCUGACCUUGAGGGCAGAUAUUAUCCUGGAUUAUCUGGGUGGGCCCCACAUAAUCAUGAGGGGCCAUAGAGGUGAAAAAGGAAGCAGAGUGACAGAAACAAAGAGGUGAAGAUAUGCAAAGGACUUGGCCUGAUGGUGCUUGCUUUGAAGAUGGAAGAACGAUCCUGUCUUAGUUGGUUUUCUGUUGCUAUAACUGUAUGCUGCAGACAAGGUAAUUUAUAAAGACUCGAGGUUUGCCGCAGUCUGGCUGGGCACAAAAUCACGAGCCACUCAAGCAGGAACAAAGUUUAUUUUUUGAAACUGCCGCCAAUGUCCGGUACCGCCCGGGCAGAUUUUUUCCACCCACGCGGCCUCCUCCCGGAAGAGAGCUCCUCCCCCGGAACUCCCUCCUACUGUACUUCCCCAACCAAUGGGAACUCUCCAGGAGUCCCGUAGCCGGCCUAGGUGAACAGCAGGAGUCCAAUAUCCAUAUGAAUGCAAAUCUUAACAUAAUCAUAUCAUCUCAAUGGCUAGCUGGCGUCACCUUUCGACCAAAAAUGCCAUGCAUCAUAUACUUGGCUCUUAGCAUCUCCCCCCUUAUGUUUAAGUAACAAGCAAUCUGACUAGGGACCGUGCCUGUUAGGUUUGUCCAAUUCAACAUAUGGUUCUUACCCGUCAUCGGAAAACUGACUUUUAGGCGUUAGCCUCCUGUCUUAGGUUGAUACCACUGCAAUUGGAUCAUACCCGUCACUGACUACCGGUCCAGCAUAUAGCCAUACUUGUGGAUAGGCCUAUGUACCAGUGGGGGGGUGAGGUUCUUUGCCUCACCUCUGUUGGCCCCCAAAUUUGGCCUUGGUGCCGGUGGGGGGGUGAGGUUCUUUACUUCACCUCUGUUGGCCCCCAAAAUUAGACCAUCACUAGUAGAAGGGAGGAGGAUACAGAAAUGUCAUGACACCAAGUCAAUUAACGGCUCCUAGGAAAAAUUGCAUCACUGGUGACACAUCAGCAAAGAUACGCUAGCACUAUCAUAAUUCACUGCAUCAACAAAUAGAUCACAAAGCAUACAAGUGAUACAUAGUCCAGGCAAGUUCUGUAAGCAGUUCAAAGCAGAGGAAUCUAUCAAUAUGUCCAUAUCCUCCCAAAAUAAAGCAUACAAGUGAUACAUAGUCCAGGCAAGUUUUGUAAGCAGUUCAAAGCAGAGGAAUCUAUCAAUAUGUCCAUAUCCUUCCAAAAUAAAUCGACUCAUUGAUUGAGCAUUACUUGGUGAGUUAUAAACCAUUGAUGUAUCAGUUUACACGGUUUGUUGUGAUAACUCUCGAAGAAGUUGUAGUUUGGUUUUAUCUUUGUCUUCACCGGCACUGGGAUGAAAAUAGGAAUUUUGACAAUGAUGCUAAAAAAAAUAUGUAACAUUUCAACAGGUAACAAGAAAACAAUAUUUAGAACAAUUUACAUUAUCCUGAACAGAAUAAUAAAAUAUAAUGAAAAGGAAAGGUGAAAGUAAACAAACAUAUCUGUUAACCUUCUAUUUGUUCAUAUAUUAAAACAAUCCUCAACAGCUGUUUACCCAAAUUAAAUUAAACUAUUAAAAUCACGUGAAUAAUAAAAAAAAAUUUUUUGGAUCCAUGUGCAUGAGCGCUUCUCAUAUGUGAUAUAUGGACAUACACACAUACAGACAUACAACACAAAACAGAAGUGUGCACACGUAACAUAUAACACAUAAGACAAUAGUAAAGGCCUUGUAGCUUUACCUAGGUGAAAUCUCCAUUGCAAUGUUCAAAAACUCCACAGUCAAAAAAUAAAACUGAUCAGAAAAAACAUUAACCUAGGUCUGUAUGAGCUCAAAAAUAAAA
Long non-coding RNA from Marmota monax (woodchuck), 4794 nucleotides. RefSeq lists it as uncharacterized. The record is from RefSeq and is a predicted model, not a curated record. NCBI's taxonomy places the organism in Eukaryota, Metazoa, Chordata, Mammalia, Rodentia, Sciuridae. The transcript is spliced from 3 exons.